CGGUGAAUACGUUCCCGGACCUUGCACACACCGCCCGUCAAGCCAUGGAAGCCGGGUGUACCUAAAGUCGUUAACCGCGAGGAGACGCCUAGGGUAAAACUGGUGACUGGGGCU
RNAcentral lists this ribosomal RNA (114 nucleotides) under uncultured bacterium. RNAcentral's name for it is "partial 16S ribosomal RNA". It matches the Rfam family "Bacterial small subunit ribosomal RNA", at positions 1360 to 1482 of the family's 1533-position model. The record is from RNAcentral.